Oncorhynchus tshawytscha (Chinook salmon) is the source of this 265-nucleotide long non-coding RNA. The record is from Ensembl. NCBI's taxonomy places the organism in Eukaryota, Metazoa, Chordata, Actinopteri, Salmoniformes, Salmonidae.
GACAAGGCUAGGUGGUUAGAGUGAUGAAGAGGAGGACAAGGCUAGGUGGUUAGAGUGAUGAAGAGGAGGACAAGGCUAGGUGGUUAGAGUGAUGAAGAGGAGGACAAGGCUACGUGGUUAGAGUGAUGAAGAGGAGGACAUUAGUUACAGGUUUAAAGUUUACAACUCUAUAUGAUGAGAGCGCUCUGGUUCUCCUUGUAGAUUCUCAUCCAUGCUAACGCUAAGUACAUGAUGAGAGAGCUCUGGUUCUCCUUGUAGAUUGUCA